RNAcentral lists this ribosomal RNA (986 nucleotides) under Halomonas sp. RNAcentral describes it as "bacterial SSU rRNA". It matches the Rfam family "Bacterial small subunit ribosomal RNA", at positions 37 to 1024 of the family's 1533-position model. The record is from RNAcentral. Lineage: Bacteria; Pseudomonadati; Pseudomonadota; Gammaproteobacteria; Oceanospirillales; Halomonadaceae.
UGGCGGCAGCUACACAUGCAGUCGAGCGGUAACAGAUCCAGCUUGCUGGAUGCUGACGAGCGGCGGACGGGUGAGUAAUGCAUAGGAAUCUGCCCGAUAGUGGGGGAUAACCUGGGGAAACCCAGGCUAAUACCGCAUACGUCCUACGGGAGAAAGGGGGCUCCGGCUCCCGCUAUGGGAUGAGCCUAUGUCGGAUUAGCUAGUUGGUGAGGUAACGGCUCACCAAGGCCACGAUCCGUAGCUGGUCUGAGAGGAUGAUCAGCCACAUCGGGACUGAGACACGGCCCGAACUCCUACGGGAGGCAGCAGUGGGGAAUAUUGGACAAUGGGGGAAACCCUGAUCCAGCCAUGCCGCGUGUGUGAAGAAGGCCCUCGGGUUGUAAAGCACUUUCAGCGAGGAAGAACGCCUAGCGGUUAAUACCCGCUAGGAAAGACAUCACUCGCAGAAGAAGCACCGGCUAACUCCGUGCCAGCAGCCGCGGUAAUACGGAGGGUGCAAGCGUUAAUCGGAAUUACUGGGCGUAAAGCGCGCGUAGGUGGCUUGAUAAGCCGGUUGUGAAAGCCCCGGGCUCAACCUGGGAACGGCAUCCGGAACUGUCAAGCUAGAGUGCAGGAGAGGAAGGUGGAAUUCCCGGUGUAGCGGUGAAAUGCGUAGAGAUCGGGAGGAAUACCAGUGGCGAAGGCGGCCUUCUGGACUGACACUGACACUGAGGUGCGAAAGCGUGGGUAGCAAACAGGAUUAGAUACCCUGGUAGUCCACGCCGUAAACGAUGUCGACCAGCCGUUGGGUGCCUAGCGCACUUUGUGGCGAAGUUAACGCGAUAAGUCGACCGCCUGGGGAGUACGGCCGCAAGGUUAAAACUCAAAUGAAUUGACGGGGGCCCGCACAAGCGGUGGAGCAUGUGGUUUAAUUCGAUGCAACGCGAAGAACCUUACCUACUCUUGACAUCCUGCGAAUUUGGUAGAGAUACCUUAGUGCCUUCGGG